ACAAAGGUUUUAAUUAAAACCACGCAAAUCAAAUAUUUAAAAAAGU
This is a non-coding RNA of Ixodes scapularis (black-legged tick), 46 nucleotides long. The record is from Rfam. NCBI's taxonomy places the organism in Eukaryota, Metazoa, Arthropoda, Arachnida, Ixodida, Ixodidae.